RNAcentral lists this long non-coding RNA (598 nucleotides) under Hordeum vulgare. RNAcentral describes it as "long non-coding RNA (HVUL_LNC017805)". Lineage: Eukaryota; Viridiplantae; Streptophyta; Magnoliopsida; Poales; Poaceae. The record is from RNAcentral.
CAGAGGAGCAUAACAGAGCUAAUAGAGCCCCUGUUGUUACUGCUGCAGGUGAACAGACUUCACAUGUCAAGUGAGCUUGGGAAAAUUCGUUCUAUACAUACUGCAGGAUCUCGUGGGCAAAAAAUUGCAUCUACACUUUGUGACGAUGUAUGCAGAACAUGCAGGUAAGCAACCCAACUUGAAUAUUGACGCGUAUACUCGAAUACUUGAUAAAGUGAAUCUCAAUCAACAAUAACAUAAACAUCCUCAGACAAUUGUGUGGAGAUCACUGGAUUCAGUAGCAGUGGCCGACCACGUAUUAACUACUCUAUAACUCCAUUCAUAUAUGUACUCAAUUCCAUAUUAGAAAAUUCCACUUCUGAAUUUUUUAUCUUAUGAGCUAAAGUAAAAUACUUUCAGUAAGUAAAAUUAAUGUUAAAGGAAAAGGUGCCUACAGGUACUUGGAGGCCGAUGACACAGAUGCUGUCCAUGAGCUCCUGCACCUUGUGAGGAUCUUGCACGUGUUCGCAUUUGCGGCCUCCGGAUAUCGUCCAGCGGGAUCUCCAUCACCAGAGGGCUUUCUUCUCUGAGUCGCUCAAUGGGGAGAGCCCAUCUNNNN